RNAcentral lists this long non-coding RNA (1487 nucleotides) under Olea europaea (common olive). Its description in RNAcentral is "long non-coding RNA (OEUR_LNC012763)". Lineage: Eukaryota; Viridiplantae; Streptophyta; Magnoliopsida; Lamiales; Oleaceae. The record is from RNAcentral.
UUACAAUGGCUUUUUAGGCUUACAUACAAAUGAGAGACUCAUGUCCUAUUUAUAGACCAUAGCUUACAUAUGAUUACUUCUAAAUAAUUCUACAUGUGUCUACAAACCUCACAAACUUUCUUGGUGCCAAAGUUUCUCUAAGAAAUUCUAGAUAAUUCUGAUUUUUAUUAGUCUUGUUUGCCAAGCAAUUCUAGGAUCUUCUCGAAAAUUCCUAAAAUAUGCAUCAACCAUUAAUAAAAUUGAACCAAAUAAUUAAAUUCUGGAAGGAGAAAACGGCCUUUGAUUUGGAUUUAGUAAUUAUCAGCCGUAGUAGUUUUCCUCGCGAGCACGACUGAGAAAAUUAAAGAAUAUUUAGAGAGAUUUUGAGGAAAUUUCGCACGCAGACUUGGUAGGUUCUGUUCGAAGAGGAAAAAGGGGAAAAUUCAUAUCAACCCAAUAAAUUUAAAAGAUUGGGUAAUUAUGUUACUACUACAAAAUGUUAUAUCAACACCACAUUAUAUCCAUACCACAGUUAAAACAUAAUUUUAGUAAAUGAACCACAAUAAAUUUACAAUUAUAUACCUAAUAUAAUAAAAAUAAUAAAAAAGGAGAAAACAUAUUUUUCACAGAUACACCACAAGUAAACUUUAUAUUUUUCCUUUAUUCGGACAUCUCUCUCUCCAUUGGCUUCUCUCAGCAUGAAUUCCAAGUUAUAAUUAGAACCCUCGUAAAGUCGUUUUGUUGUUUGUAUUCUAGAGACUCCCGAAACCAGUAAAACUCCCUCCCCAGAAGAAUCCAGGAUUGCAGGCCCAGAUUCAAAUCCACCAUUAGGAAGCAGAUUAUCUGUUUUCGCAUAUUUUUUUCCGUCAAACAAGCAAUUCAUGAGUUAGUUCUCCUUUCAUUAGAUUAGGCUAGAGAUGAUUAAAAUGAAAAAUGUUACACGCAGAACAAAGAGUAGACUGUAGAAGUAUAUAAAUAUAAUAUGAAGAUUGACUCACCACUGUUUUAAGCAAUAGAUAAACUAAAAGAAUGGCCCUUUUCCAGUUUCCACAGAUAAAAUAAGUUUGAAUGUCAAUAGAUAAACGAUGCUUUACAAUAAUCAUGCUGCAGAAAUAUAAAAAGAAUGAUAACAGGCAAAAGUUUCGUCAUUGUUCUCACCAUUUGCGAUAAUUAAAGAAGAUAUUAAAAGCAACAGGAAACUAUGUUCUCCAUGCGAAAGAAUGAUUAAAAAAUCACAACAGAUAACAGUGUAAAGAAUGAUCUGUUUAAUUCUUUGAGCAUGAAGAAUUCUUAUAAUAGAUUGCAAACCCCUUCAUGAUUUUAUCGGAUGUGAAAAAAAAAUAAAUAAAAUCAUUUCCAUGAUGAAAUUUUACCUGUGUUUGACGGCUACAAACUUGCAAUUGUAGAAAAGAAGAAGAAUAAAUUAGGUUAAUUUUUGUGGUGUGAUUAUAUAAUUUUACUUAAAGCUAUUUAAGUAAAUAAGAAAAAAAAUUAAAAAUACUUAAUAA